UACAGAGGGGGCAAGCGUUAUUCGGAAUUAUUGGGCGUAAAGAGCUCGUAGGUGGCCUGUCGCGUCGGCUGUGAAAACUCGGGGCUCAACUCCGAGCUUGCAGUCGAUACGGGCAGGCUAGAGUUCGGCAGGGGAGACUGGAAUUCCUGGUGUAGCGGUGAAAUGCGCAGAUAUCAGGAGGAACACCGGUGGCGAAGGCGGGUCUCUGGGCCGAUACUGACGCUGAGGAGCGAAAGCGUGGGGAGCGAACAGG
RNAcentral lists this ribosomal RNA (253 nucleotides) under uncultured bacterium. RNAcentral describes it as "partial 16S ribosomal RNA". It matches the Rfam family "Bacterial small subunit ribosomal RNA", at positions 524 to 776 of the family's 1533-position model. The record is from RNAcentral.